Molecule: non-coding RNA, 73 nt
Organism: Myotis lucifugus (little brown bat)
Lineage: Eukaryota; Metazoa; Chordata; Mammalia; Chiroptera; Vespertilionidae
Source: Rfam
GCCAGUGUGGCUCAGUGGAUGAAGCGUCUGUCUGCAGACUGAAGGGUACCGGGUUCGAGUCCAGUCAAUGGCA